UUUUCUCCAGUAUUUAUUGUGAGAACCUGGUGUGGCUCCCGGAGGAAAAUCUCACGGAACUGUGGAGGGUCUUCUAUGACUGAGUUCCCUCUGCAGGUUUUCUCUCUCAGAGCUAUUCACUCUGAGCAUGCGGUUAAUUCUUCGAUUACAGUUCAAGUUUUCCAGCACUGGUUCCCGUGGAGGUGUCCGCUGGUGAGUCCGUGCUCCAGGAAGAUACCUAGAGACAAGAGGAGUCACCCUCUAAGUAGGAAUAAUUGACCCUGAUCAGCAGGAGGAGCGAUUGUUUACUUGCUGUUAAACAAUUGAGUACACGAAUUCUUUUCUCUGCCCCUUUCAUGCUGCUGUUGGUCCCAUCCACUCAAGUUUCUUAUUCAGAUGAAAAUAACUCUGGGAAAACUUCAGAUGACAGUGAAGAAGUUGCAGCAACCCAAAAGAGCACAAAAACCAAAGACCGCUGCAUAGAACAGUCACGCUAUUAGGACGACCAUAUAUGAAUCCAGUAGCUAUGGCAACUUCUUCUAGAACACUACUGGGACCACUGCUGUGAAAAUCAGAAUCUGUAAUUAUUCUGGUGCGUGUGCGCUUUGUGGUGAAACAACAUCUCCUCCAGGGGUGCCUGGGUGGCUUGGUCGGUUAAGCAUCUGCC
Leptonychotes weddellii (Weddell seal) is the source of this 646-nucleotide long non-coding RNA. RefSeq lists it as uncharacterized. The record is from RefSeq and is a predicted model, not a curated record. Lineage: Eukaryota; Metazoa; Chordata; Mammalia; Carnivora; Phocidae.